Molecule: ribosomal RNA, 533 nt
Filed under: Hepatozoon canis
Lineage: Eukaryota; Apicomplexa; Hepatozoidae
Description: bacterial SSU rRNA
Rfam family: Eukaryotic small subunit ribosomal RNA
Source: RNAcentral
AAGUGAAAACAGGCGAUAAAUCAUUCAAGUUUCUGACCUAUCAGCUUUCGACGGUAUGGUAUUGGCUUACCGUGGCAGUGACGGUUAACGGGGGAUUAGGGUUCGAUUCCGGAGAGGGAGCCUGAGAAACGGCUACCACAUCUAAGGAAGGCAGCAGGCGCGCAAAUUACCCAAUUCUAACAGUUUGAGAGAGGCAGUAACAAGAAAUAACAAUACAAGGCAGUUAAAAUGCUUUGUAAUUGGAAUGAUAGAAAUUUAAACCCUUUUUAAAGUAUCAAUUGGAGGGCAAGUCUGGUGCCAGCAGCCGCGGUAAUUCCAGCUCCAAUAGCGUAUAUUAAAAUUGUUGCAGUUAAAAAGCUCGUAGUUGAAGUUCUGCUGAAAGUAACCGGUCUGCUUUUAAUAAAAGUGGUAUCUUGGUAUGUAUUUAGCAAUGAUGUCCUUUGAAGUGUUUUUUACUUUAUUGUAAUAAAGCAUAUUCAGGACUUUUACUUUGAGAAAAUUAGAGUGUUUCUAGCAGGCUGACGCUUUGAAUA